RNAcentral lists this ribosomal RNA (446 nucleotides) under uncultured bacterium. Its description in RNAcentral is "bacterial SSU rRNA". It matches the Rfam family "Bacterial small subunit ribosomal RNA", at positions 329 to 792 of the family's 1533-position model. The record is from RNAcentral.
GCCCAGACUCCUACGGGAGGCAGCAGUGGGGAAUAUUGCACAAUGGGGGGAACCCUGAUGCAGCAACGCCGCGUGGGUGAAGAAGUACUUCGGUAUGUAAAGCCCUGUCAGCAGGGAAGAAAAUGACGGUACCUGACCAAGAAGCCCCGGCUAACUACGUGCCAGCAGCCGCGGUAAUACGUAGGGGGCAAGCGUUAUCCGGAUUUACUGGGUGUAAAGGGAGCGUAGACGGCAAGGCAAGCCUGAUGUGAAAGCCCGCGGCCCAACCGCGGGACUGCAUUGGGAACUACCGGGCUGGAGUGCCGGAGAGGUAGGCGGAAUUCCUAGUGUAGCGGUGAAAUGCGUAGAUAUUAGGAGGAACACCAGUGGCGAAGGCGGCCUACUGGACUGUAACUGACGUUGAGGCUCGAAAGCGUGGGGAGCAAACAGGAUUAGAUACCCCUGUA